Molecule: long non-coding RNA, 1065 nt
Organism: Homo sapiens (human)
Lineage: Eukaryota; Metazoa; Chordata; Mammalia; Primates; Hominidae
Exons: 5
Source: RefSeq, a predicted model, not a curated record
CCCAAGCAACCCAAAGGGCCAGUCUCACUCCCACCAUGCCCACCCCCACAACAGCACCAAGUCUGUUUCCAGGUAGUGGGCAAACAGGAAGUUACCCCAGGCUACCCACCUCCCAGCUGCAAAAGUAAGUAGGGCAUUCCUUCUUCCCCUGCCUGUGGAGUCUGUACGCCAGAUUCACCCCCUCCCCAGAGUUCUGGCCAGGAGACUUCUCGAUUGGUUCAAAUUGUUACAAAGUUCAGCUGGAGGUUUCCUUCUCCCUGUGGCCUUUUCCCAGUGCCUCUGGCAGCCCUCCUCAAGGACACCUGUGAGGCGAGGCAGAAAGGGCCUUCUAGGGGAUCCAGCAAGCCCGCAGGGAUUUUCCUGCUGCUUCCUGUACCCCUGUAUUUCUCUCAGUUCUCUAAACUGACCCAGCUCCAAGUAAGCCCUUGAACCUGCUUGCCUCAGUAACCAUGGCAAGUCCAGAUGGCUGCCUUAGGAUCAGAUGUAAACCUUGGAGAAACCAGCUGUGGCCAGUAUGUCAAGUUUAAGCAGACAAAUGAAGGUGACCUGUGGUGGGAAUACACAUUUUGAAACUGAAAAGAGAUGGUAUGUGGGGAUGUACGGAGAACUUGUUGGAGUCUCUGUUGUGGACAACGCUUUAUGUGGUUUCAAGCUUCACAUACAAAAAAAAAGAAGGAAAGUGGCAGCACCCAAAAAAGAUCAAAACAAGGCAAGGAUCUCUGCUCUCGACCCAUCUAUUCAAUAUUGAACUAGAGGUCCCAGAUGGUGCAAUAAGAAAAUAACUCCAACUCUUUCAAAAGAGCUCAUUUAGUGGCAAUUCUUCCUAUUUCAUCUGUUACGGCUAGUGAGUUCUGCGCUUACUGAAGCAUCUCCUGACCCUAGAGACAAUUGCAACCAUGGCAAGAAUACCAACAAUGUUAUGCUAGAUCCCACGGCAAAAGGGUAACAAAAUUGGAUUUUAUGACUCUUUAUCAUUGAAUCACCCUCAACAACACCAAUUCUGGGAAGUUCUGAUAAUACAUUUCUGACUGCCUGACCUCAUAAUGUACAAUAGAUUCCCUUUCU